This 333-nucleotide ribosomal RNA is filed under the name uncultured bacterium. RNAcentral's name for it is "bacterial SSU rRNA". It matches the Rfam family "Bacterial small subunit ribosomal RNA", at positions 29 to 353 of the family's 1533-position model. The record is from RNAcentral.
AACGAACGCUGGCGGCGCGCCUAAUACAUGCAAGUCGAGCGAGAAGACGUAGCAAUACGUUUGUAAAGCGGCGAACGGGUGAGGAAUACAUGGGUAACCUACCCUCGAGUGGGGAAUAACUAGCCGAAAGGUUAGCUAAUACCGCGUACGCUCCUUGGACUUCGGUUCAGGGAGGAAAGCGAUACCGUGGGUAUCGCGCUCUUGGAUGGGCUCAUGUCCUAUCAGCUUGUUGGUGAGGAACGGCUCACCAAGGCUUCGACGGGUAGCUGGUCUGAGAGGACGAUCAGCCACACUGGGACUGAGAUACGGCCCAGACUCCUACGGGAGGCAGCA